CCUACGGGAGGCAGCAGUGGGGAAUAUUGCACAAUGGGCGAAAGCCUGAUGCAGCGACGCCGCGUGAGGGAUGACGGCCUUCGGGUUGUAAACCUCUUUCAGCAGGGAAGAAGCGCAAGUGACGGUACCUGCAGAAGAAGCACCGGCUAACUACGUGCCAGCAGCCGCGGUAAUACGUAGGGUGCGAGCGUUGUCCGGAAUUAUUGGGCGUAAAGAGCUCGUAGGCGGUCUGUCACGUCGGAUGUGAAAGCCCGGGGCUUAACCCCGGGUCUGCAUUCGAUACGGGCAGACUAGAGUGUGGUAGGGGAGAUCGGAAUUCCUGGUGUAGCGGUGAAAUGCGCAGAUAUCAGGAGGAACACCGGUGGCGAAGGCGGAUCUCUGGGCCAUUACUGACGCUGAGGAGCGAAAGCGUGGGGAGCGAACAGGAUUAGAUACCCUGGUAGUCCACGCCGUAAACGUUGGGAACUAGGUGUUGGCGACAUUCCACGUCGUCGGUGCGCAGCUAACGCAUAAGUUCCCGCCUCGGGAGUACGGCCGCAAGGCGUAAACUCAAAUGAAUUGACGGCGUUGAGACGUUGCGACGACGACGACGAGGGAGGAGG
Molecule: ribosomal RNA, 602 nt
Filed under: uncultured bacterium
Lineage: Bacteria
Description: bacterial SSU rRNA
Rfam family: Bacterial small subunit ribosomal RNA
Source: RNAcentral